Molecule: ribosomal RNA, 586 nt
Filed under: Mycoacia gilvescens
Lineage: Eukaryota; Fungi; Basidiomycota; Agaricomycetes; Polyporales; Meruliaceae
Description: partial 28S ribosomal RNA
Rfam family: Eukaryotic large subunit ribosomal RNA
Source: RNAcentral
GAUUCCCCUAGUAACUGCGAGUGAAGCGGGAAAAGCUCAAAUUUAAAAUCUGGUAGUCUUUGGCUGCCCGAAUUGUAGUCUAGAGAAGCGUCUUCCGCGCUGGACCGUGUACAAGUCUCUUGGAACAGAGCGUCGUAGAGGGUGAGAAUCCCGUCUUUGACACGGACUACCAGUGCUUUGUGAUGCGCUCUCAAAGAGUCGAGUUGUUUGGGAAUGCAGCUCAAAAUGGGUGGUAAAUUCCAUCUAAAGCUAAAUAUUGGCGAGAGACCGAUAGCGAACAAGUACCGUGAGGGAAAGAUGAAAAGCACUUUGGAAAGAGAGUUAAACAGUACGUGAAAUUGCUGAAAGGGAAACGCUUGAAGUCAGUCGCGUCGUCCAGAACUCAACCUGGCUUUUGCUUGGUGCACUUUCUGAACGACGGGCCAACAUCAGUUUUGACUGUCGGAAAAAGUCCUUAGGAAUGUGGCACCUCCGGGUGUGUUAUAGCCUUUGGUCGUAUACGAUGGUUGGGACUGAGGACCGCAGCACGCCUUAUGGCCGGGGUUCGCCCACGUACGUGCUUAGGAUGUUGGCGUAAUGGCUUUAA